UACGUAGGUGGCGAGCGUUGUCCGGAUUUAUUGGGUUUAAAGGGUGCGUAGGCGGCUUUGUAAGUCAGUGGUGAAAUACUCCAGCUUAACUGGAGGGGUGCCAUUGAUACUGCGGAGCUUGAGUACAGAUGAGGUAGGCGGAAUUGACGGUGUAGCGGUGAAAUGCAUAGAUAUCGUCAAGAACACCGAUAGCGAAGGCAGCUUACUGGGCUGUAACUGACGCUGAUGCACGAAAGUGUGGGGAUCAA
RNAcentral lists this ribosomal RNA (248 nucleotides) under uncultured bacterium. Its description in RNAcentral is "partial 16S ribosomal RNA". It matches the Rfam family "Bacterial small subunit ribosomal RNA", at positions 524 to 771 of the family's 1533-position model. The record is from RNAcentral.